CUUGGUUUAUAUGAUCUUUAUUUUUCCAUUUGUGUUUUUCUUCACUUCACAUUGAUAAAAAGGUGUCAGCUACCCUCAAGAUUUGUUUUGUUAUGAGUAAUUUCAAUAAUUGUUAUCCAAAGUUUGAACAAUCAGUGUCUCAUUUUUACAGGAUGUCGAAGAAGCUGGAAAGUAUGGGUUGUGGUAUAUUGUGUAGUUUCUCUUUUGAUUUGUAAUAUGUCUUUGGUAAAUACACUAAUAAUAGUUUUAGGUAUAUGCAGCUUUCGCAUAUUAAACUAACAUCCAUGAAAUUUGGGAAAGGACUGAUGUCUUUAUAGUGUAGGAAAUAGAUGUGUUAAUCAUUAUAGUGAAAACACAUAUGUACUGUAUGUUAAGAUAGAUUUAAUGCUGGACUCAGCUAUACCUAAAAAUCAAAACUGGUAGUCACUAACUUAGUUAAGCUCUGAGGUUGUGGUGCAGUAGUUUAGUUCUUCAUCUUAUUGAGCAUUGUGUUGUGUGUGUGUUUCUUCUAGGAACAAGUUUAUGCAGUAUUUUUGUUAUAGGUUUUAAUUUGUGACAGUAUUACUUUAGGAAAUGAAAUGAGGGAUGCGAUUGGUAAGAUAGUUAACGUCAGAUGUUGUCUUUUGACAAAAUUUUCUCAUUUUGCAAAAAGAAAAGAAGAAAAAAAUAUGAGAUCACUGUAUAGGUUUUGAUUCUGUCUAGAUUUUGAUUAUAAUUAAUUUGUUAAGAUCUUACCAUCCUGCAGAGAAGUUCCCUGUUUCUGUUUAAUGUUUUACUUUAAUUUGGCAGCUUUGUCCUUACUAGCAAGUGAAGUUGAGUCACAUGAUUCUCAGAUGGACAAAAAGAAAUUAAAAUGCAAUAUUCUGAUCAACAGAUGCAAUAUUCUGAAAAUUAAGGAUGAGAUUGUGAUUAGCAUGACCAAUGGUGAAGUAAUUUACAUGGAACAGUGUUAAGAAAGGUAUUUUUAGUCAUAGAUUGAAAACUUUUGCAGUUACUGUACACCUCUCCUAUUUCUCUCUCUUAUUUUCUUUUGUUAAAGAAAAUAACAAUCUUUAAUGCAGUUCAUUAUGUACAAUCACGGUUAAGCUUUAUCCAUUUUGAUUUAGAUUUUUGAGGAUGCAAAUAUUACAUGCUUUUUUUUCUCUCUUGAAAUAUCCAUCUUAGAGUUUAUUUUAUUUCCAGGAUGGAUUAUUUGUAACAUUGAAAAUACAGUGUUUGAGAUUUAUUAUUUUUAUAUGUGAAAUAUAUACUUUAUUUUCAUGUCACAUCAUUUGUAGUAUGUACAUUUCUAGACCAAUAAAAAGAAAUACACAGAAGGA
This is a long non-coding RNA of Penaeus monodon (black tiger shrimp), 1319 nucleotides long. RefSeq lists it as uncharacterized. NCBI's taxonomy places the organism in Eukaryota, Metazoa, Arthropoda, Malacostraca, Decapoda, Penaeidae. The record is from RefSeq and is a predicted model, not a curated record. The transcript is spliced from 2 exons.